Long non-coding RNA from Phoenix dactylifera (date palm), 506 nucleotides. RefSeq lists it as uncharacterized. The record is from RefSeq and is a predicted model, not a curated record. NCBI's taxonomy places the organism in Eukaryota, Viridiplantae, Streptophyta, Magnoliopsida, Arecales, Arecaceae.
UCCAUACUACAACAUCUAUUAAAGACCUUCUCCCUUUACAAAAGGACGCCCUCUUCCUCUCCUCUUGGAUUUGGAGUCCCUUCUCGGACUCACCCAGCAAUGGCCUGAGCGGCAGCAAUAACAGCCGGCGAGGUGGCGGCCGGCGGUGAGGCGGCAAUCGCUGCGGCCAUGCAGGGCAACUUAGUAACUUUGGCAGCUCACCAUCUCUUUGCUAAGCCAAGAUAAAGUCUAAAACACAUCUCCGAAUCCCAACGCCACCCCACCCCAACGUACACACAACAAACAACCUGUCUCAACCUGGUGAUGGAAAGUACAUUGAAAGUUGUGUGGAAUUUGAUUUGAUCCACGAUAUGUAUUUUUCAUUCUUGAUGCAUAUUGUGUGGAAUUUGAUUCUAUCAUUGAAAAUUGUGUGGAAUUUGAUUCUGUCAUAUUAUGUGGAAUUUGAUUCGGUACAAUAUGUAUUUUUCAUUCUUGAUGGAUAUUAUGUGAGAUUUAAUAGAUCUUUU